CUGGUUGAUCCUGCCAGAGGUUACUGCUAUCGAGAUUCGACUAAGCCAUGCGAGUCGAAUGUUCUUCGUGAACAUGGCGAACUGCUCAGUAACACGUGGACAACCUACCCUUGGGUUCGGCAUAAUCCUGGGAAACUGGGGAUAAUACCGGAUAGGCCACAGCUGCUGGAAUGCACUGUGGCUCAAAGCUCCGGCGCCCAAGGAUGGGUCUGCGGCCUAUCAGGGUUGUAGUGGGUGUAAUGUACCUACUAGCCUACGACGGGUACGGGUUGUGAGAGCAAGAGCCCGGAGAUGGAUUCUGAGACACGAAUCCAGGCCCUACGGGGUGCAGCAGGCGCGAAAACUUUACAAUGCGGGAAACCGUGAUAAGGGAAUCUCGAGUGCCAGCAUAUAAUGUUGGCUGUCCAGAUGCCUAAAAAGCAUCUGUUAGCAAGGGCCGGGCAAGACCGGUGCCAGCCGCCGCGGUAACACCGGCGGCCCGAGUGGUAACCGCUAUUAUUGGGUCUAAAGGGUCUGUAGCCGGCCAGGUAAGUCCCUUGGGAAAUCUGGCAGCUCAACUGUCAGGCUGCUAGGGGAUACUGUUUGGCUUGGGACCGGGAGAGGUGAGAGGUACCUUGGGGGUAGGGGUGAAAUCUUGUGAUCCUCGGGGGACCACCAGUGGCGAAGGCGUCUCACCAGAACGGGUCCGACGGUAAGGGACGAAAGCUAGGGGCACGAACCGGAUUAGAUACCCGGGUAGUCCUAGCCGUAAACGAUGCUCGCUAGGUGCCAGUCACGGUGCGACCGUGAUUGGUGCCGUAGGGAAGCCGUGAAGCGAGCCACCUGGGAAGUAUGGCCGCAAGGCUUGAAACUUAAAGGAAUUGGCGGGGGAGCACUAC
This 878-nucleotide ribosomal RNA is filed under the name uncultured archaeon. RNAcentral's name for it is "bacterial SSU rRNA". It matches the Rfam family "Archaeal small subunit ribosomal RNA", at positions 4 to 882 of the family's 1478-position model. The record is from RNAcentral.